Molecule: ribosomal RNA, 2758 nt
Filed under: Klebsiella pneumoniae
Lineage: Bacteria; Pseudomonadati; Pseudomonadota; Gammaproteobacteria; Enterobacterales; Enterobacteriaceae
Description: bacterial LSU rRNA
Rfam family: Bacterial large subunit ribosomal RNA
Source: RNAcentral
CACUAUCGUUAACUGAAUACAUAGGUUAACGAGGCGAACCGGGGGAACUGAAACAUCUAAGUACCCCGAGGAAAAGAAAUCAACCGAGAUUCCCCCAGUAGCGGCGAGCGAACGGGGAGCAGCCCAGAGUCUGAAUCAGCUUGUGUGUUAGUGGAACGGUCUGGAAAGUCCGACGGUACAGGGUGAUAGUCCCGUACACCAAAAUGCACAGGCUGUGAACUCGAAGAGUAGGGCGGGACACGUGGUAUCCUGUCUGAAUAUGGGGGGACCAUCCUCCAAGGCUAAAUACUCCUGACUGACCGAUAGUGAACCAGUACCGUGAGGGAAAGGCGAAAAGAACCCCGGCGAGGGGAGUGAAAAAGAACCUGAAACCGUGUACGUACAAGCAGUGGGAGCACCUUCGGGUGUGACUGCGUACCUUUUGUAUAAUGGGUCAGCGACUUAUAUUCUGUAGCAAGGUUAACCGUAUAGGGGAGCCGCAGGGAAACCGAGUCUUAACUGGGCGUUAAGUUGCAGGGUAUAGACCCGAAACCCGGUGAUCUAGCCAUGGGCAGGUUGAAGGUUGGGUAACACUAACUGGAGGACCGAACCGACUAAUGUUGAAAAAUUAGCGGAUGACUUGUGGCUGGGGGUGAAAGGCCAAUCAAACCGGGAGAUAGCUGGUUCUCCCCGAAAGCUAUUUAGGUAGCGCCUCGUGAACUCAUCUUCGGGGGUAGAGCACUGUUUCGGCUAGGGGGUCAUCCCGACUUACCAACCCGAUGCAAACUACGAAUACCGAAGAAUGUUAUCACGGGAGACACACGGCGGGUGCUAACGUCCGUCGUGAAGAGGGAAACAACCCAGACCGCCAGCUAAGGUCCCAAAGUCAUGGUUAAGUGGGAAACGAUGUGGGAAGGCACAGACAGCCAGGAUGUUGGCUUAGAAGCAGCCAUCAUUUAAAGAAAGCGUAAUAGCUCACUGGUCGAGUCGGCCUGCGCGGAAGAUGUAACGGGGCUAAACCAUGCACCGAAGCUGCGGCAGCGACACUAUGUGUUGUUGGGUAGGGGAGCGUUCUGUAAGCCUGCGAAGGUGACCUGUGAGGGUUGCUGGAGGUAUCAGAAGUGCGAAUGCUGACAUAAGUAACGAUAAAGCGGGUGAAAAGCCCGCUCGCCGGAAGACCAAGGGUUCCUGUCCAACGUUAAUCGGGGCAGGGUGAGUCGACCCCUAAGGCGAGGCCGAAAGGCGUAGUCGAUGGGAAACAGGUUAAUAUUCCUGUACUUGGUGUUACUGCGAAGGGGGGACGGAGAAGGCUAUGUUAGCCGGGCGACGGUUGUCCCGGUUUAAGCAUGUAGGCUGGUUGUCCAGGCAAAUCCGGAUAAUCAAGGCUGAGGUGUGAUGACGAGGCACUACGGUGCUGAAGUAACAAAUGCCCUGCUUCCAGGAAAAGCCUCUAAGCAUCAGGUAACAUCAAAUCGUACCCCAAACCGACACAGGUGGUCAGGUAGAGAAUACCAAGGCGCUUGAGAGAACUCGGGUGAAGGAACUAGGCAAAAUGGUGCCGUAACUUCGGGAGAAGGCACGCUGGUGUGUAGGUGAAGCCCCUGCGGGUGGAGCUGAGACCAGUCGAAGAUACCAGCUGGCUGCAACUGUUUAUUAAAAACACAGCACUGUGCAAACACGAAAGUGGACGUAUACGGUGUGACGCCUGCCCGGUGCCGGAAGGUUAAUUGAUGGGGUUAUCCGUAAGGAGAAGCUCUUGAUCGAAGCCCCGGUAAACGGCGGCCGUAACUAUAACGGUCCUAAGGUAGCGAAAUUCCUUGUCGGGUAAGUUCCGACCUGCACGAAUGGCGUAAUGAUGGCCAGGCUGUCUCCACCCGAGACUCAGUGAAAUUGAACUCGCUGUGAAGAUGCAGUGUACCCGCGGCAAGACGGAAAGACCCCGUGAACCUUUACUAUAGCUUGACACUGAACAUUGAGCCUUGAUGUGUAGGAUAGGUGGGAGGCUUUGAAGCGUGGACGCCAGUCUGCGUGGAGCCAACCUUGAAAUACCACCCUUUAAUGUUUGAUGUUCUAACGUUGGCCCCUUACCGGGGUUGCGGACAGUGUCUGGUGGGUAGUUUGACUGGGGCGGUCUCCUCCCAAAGCGUAACGGAGGAGCACGAAGGUUAGCUAAUCCUGGUCGGACAUCAGGAGGUUAGUGCAAUGGCAUAAGCUAGCUUGACUGCGAGCGUGACGGCGCGAGCAGGUGCGAAAGCAGGUCAUAGUGAUCCGGUGGUUCUGAAUGGAAGGGCCAUCGCUCAACGGAUAAAAGGUACUCCGGGGAUAACAGGCUGAUACCGCCCAAGAGUUCAUAUCGACGGCGGUGUUUGGCACCUCGAUGUCGGCUCAUCACAUCCUGGGGCUGAAGUAGGUCCCAAGGGUAUGGCUGUUCGCCAUUUAAAGUGGUACGCGAGCUGGGUUUAGAACGUCGUGAGACAGUUCGGUCCCUAUCUGCCGUGGGCGCUGGAGAAUUGAGGGGGGCUGCUCCUAGUACGAGAGGACCGGAGUGGACGCAUCACUGGUGUUCGGGUUGUCAUGCCAAUGGCACUGCCCGGUAGCUAAAUGCGGAAGAGAUAAGUGCUGAAAGCAUCUAAGCACGAAACUUGCCCCGAGAUGAGUUCUCCCUGAGACUUUAAGUCUCCUGAAGGAACGUUAAAGACGAUGACGUUGAUAGGCCGGGUGUGUAAGCGCAGCGAUGCGUUGAGCUAACCGGUACUAAUGAACCGUGAGGCUUAACCUU